UACGUAGGUGGCUAGCGUUGUCCGGAUUUACUGGGCGUAAAGAGCGCGCAGGCGGUCGUUCAAGUCGAGUGUGAAAGCCCCCGGCUCAACUGGGGAGGGUCACUCGAUACUGAUCGACUUGAAGGCGGGAGAGGGAAGCGGAAUUCCCAGUGUAGAGGUGAAAUUCGUAGAUAUUGGGAAGAACACCAGCGGCGAAGGCGGCUAUCUGGACCACAACUGACGCUGAGGCGCGAAAGCGUGGGGAGCAAACAGG
RNAcentral lists this ribosomal RNA (253 nucleotides) under uncultured bacterium. RNAcentral describes it as "partial 16S ribosomal RNA". It matches the Rfam family "Bacterial small subunit ribosomal RNA", at positions 524 to 776 of the family's 1533-position model. The record is from RNAcentral.